This is a long non-coding RNA of Lagopus leucura (white-tailed ptarmigan), 1216 nucleotides long. RefSeq lists it as uncharacterized. The record is from RefSeq and is a predicted model, not a curated record. Lineage: Eukaryota; Metazoa; Chordata; Aves; Galliformes; Phasianidae. The transcript is spliced from 4 exons.
AUUUGGUGAUAGCCUGGUAAGAAAGAAUUUCUCUGUUCCUUGAUCAACAGUGUAUAGAAGUGCUGUAGAGGAUGCAGCCGUGCCAUGGUUGAUGGCAGCAUGAGAGCAAAAAUGUGCUGGUGUGCGGGGGCACUGCAGUUCAAAUACAAUGAAGAGGGAAAGGACUACUGGCAGAGAAUCAUAAUUGAGACCCCAGUCCUCUAGGGGCCUGCCAGAUGCCUGCCUUUGUUUUCAGUGAUCUAUUCAGACAGUAUGAAGUGAAGAGCAUGCGAAAAUCCCAGGGGUUUGAGUCAGGCGAGCCUUCUGAAAGGACCCGAAGUGAUGUAUUAUGCCUUUUUCUGUCUGGAAAAGGAUAGCAGGUCUACUCUCCUUGCCCUCAAGGUAGGACAAAACUCAAUGGGAGCAUACAGAGAUAAAAAAGGAAAAAGAAAUGCUGGCCCAGAAGCAGAGCCAAGUGAGGGUCUUGGCGUAGAAAAUGGCCUCAUACCACUGCCAGAAGGAGGGAAUGCUGGAAAGAAGAUCCCUGGCACGGGUCUGCCUUCACUUUGCGCCAUGUAAGCAGCCCAAUGUGAGACUGAAGAUGAACAGACCUUGUCUCAUACUGUUUGGACAUCACGGUCAUGUAGAAAGCCUCUGCUUUAAUUUUGUCUAUGCCAAUGAAAUGAAAUGUGCUAACUUGUAUUCUCAAGUAUCAAGCCAUUUUGCAGAACUCGAAAAUAAACUUAAGUAUUAUUUAUACCCACUGUAUCUGUGUAAACAAGAUUCAAAUAUAUGUUCUCUUCUUCACAGAUAUAGACAAAAAAUUUAGUGCUGCUUUUUGAUGACAAUAAAAAUUAUUUGCCUCUCCAACUAUAAACUUUGGAGGAAUGCAGUUUUUCCAGUAUCGCCUGAUUUUCAUUGUGCUGUUGCAGCUUAGAAACUACUUUUCCUGAGAUGCUUCUUUUACUAAAACCUGUGAGUUCAUAAUAAGGCAAAUGUAUAUAUGUGUACAUACAUAUAUAUAUAGUCCUAAUAAAUGCACUAAAUAUUUAUUUUCAAUUAAUUAUCUGUCAGAGUGGGAAAAGUUUUGUAAUUUGUCUCUAUUUGUGCCUAAGCCCUUGGAUUUGUCUGUAUUUGGGGAAGAGAUCAUUAAUGGUUGUUCAGAGCACAGAGCAGCCCUUUUGCUUUGUUGUAUUGUUUCUGAAUGCUCUGCUUGCUACAAGUGAAAACAGAAAAA